ACGGGGGGCCUACGGGAGGCAGCAGUGGGGAAUAUUGGACAAUGGGGGGAACCCUGAUCCAGCCAUGCCGCGUGUGUGAAGAAGGCCUUAUGGUUGUAAAGCACUUUAAGCGAGGAGGAGGCUCUUUUGGUUAAUACCCAAGAUGAGUGGACGUUACUCGCAGAAUAAGCACCGGCUAACUCUGUGCCAGCAGCCGCGGUAAU
Molecule: ribosomal RNA, 203 nt
Filed under: Acinetobacter baumannii
Lineage: Bacteria; Pseudomonadati; Pseudomonadota; Gammaproteobacteria; Moraxellales; Moraxellaceae
Description: partial 16S ribosomal RNA
Rfam family: Bacterial small subunit ribosomal RNA
Source: RNAcentral